CCAAAGUGCAAAUUUGGAGCAGCACCAGGCAGGUGCCGAGGCUUCUCCCGUUU
This 53-nucleotide transfer RNA is filed under the name Aristelliger expectatus. Its description in RNAcentral is "partial tRNA-Cys". The record is from RNAcentral. Lineage: Eukaryota; Metazoa; Chordata; Lepidosauria; Squamata; Sphaerodactylidae.